CCUCAGUUCGGACUGGGGUCUGCAACCCGACCCCCACGAAGCUGGAUUCGCUAGUAAUCGCGCAUCAGCCAUGGCGCGGUGAAUACGUUCCCGGGCCUUGUACGCACCGCCCGUCAAGCCAUGAAAGCCGGGGGCGCCUGAAGUCCGUGACCGCGAGGGUCGGCCUAGGGUGAAACCGGUGAUUGGGGCUAAGUCGUAACAAGGUAUC
Molecule: ribosomal RNA, 208 nt
Filed under: uncultured bacterium
Lineage: Bacteria
Description: partial 16S ribosomal RNA
Rfam family: Bacterial small subunit ribosomal RNA
Source: RNAcentral